Molecule: ribosomal RNA, 497 nt
Filed under: uncultured bacterium
Lineage: Bacteria
Description: bacterial SSU rRNA
Rfam family: Bacterial small subunit ribosomal RNA
Source: RNAcentral
AUUGAACGCUGGCGGCAUGCCUUACACAUGCAAGUCGAACGGUAACAGGUCUUCGGAUGCUGACGAGUGGCGAACGGGUGAGUAAUACAUCGGAACGUGCCCGAUCGUGGGGGAUAACGGAGCGAAAGCUUUGCUAAUACCGCAUACGAUCUACGGAUGAAAGCAGGGGACCGCAAGGCCUUGCGCGGACGGAGCGGCCGAUGGCAGAUUAGGUAGUUGGUGGGAUAAAAGCUUACCAAGCCGACGAUCUGUAGCUGGUCUGAGAGGACGACCAGCCACACUGGGACUGAGACACGGCCCAGACUCCUACGGGAGGCAGCAGUGGGGAAUUUUGGACAAUGGGCGCAAGCCUGAUCAGCCAUGCCGCGUGCAGGAUGAAGGCCUUCGGGUUGUAAAGCUCUUUUGUCCGGUAAGAAAAGCGCCGGGUUAAUAACCCUGGUGUCCUGCGGUACCGGAAGAAUAAGCACCGGCUAACUUCGUGCCAGCAGCCGCGGUAA